CGGUAUUUUGACCGUGCGAAGGUAGCAUAAUCAAUAGUCUAUUAAUUAUAGUCUGGAAUGAAGGGUUUGACGAUAAGUAACUUUCUUAAUACUAAAGGUGAAUCUUAAUUAUUAGUGAAAAUGCUAAUAUAAAUAAGGGGGACGAGAAGACCCUGUGGAGUUUGAUAUUUAAGCAUAAGUGAUAGUAGAUAAUAUGCUUAUUAUAUUUUGCUGGGGCGGCAAUAAAUAUAUCAUUUAUAUGUUUGUCUAUUUAANAGGUAGAUGAUCCAAUAAUAUUGAUUAUUAGUUUAAAUUACCCCAGGGAUAACAGCGUAAUUUUAUUUUAGAGUUCUUAUCGAUAAUGAAGUUUACGACCUCGAUGUUGGAUUAGGAUACCCUUAAGGCGCAGAAGUUUAUUAGGGUGGUCUGUUCGACCAUUAAAUUCCUACAUGAUCUGAGU
Molecule: ribosomal RNA, 439 nt
Filed under: Digitipes sp. 7 JJ-2012
Lineage: Eukaryota; Metazoa; Arthropoda; Chilopoda; Scolopendromorpha; Scolopendridae
Description: partial 16S ribosomal RNA
Rfam family: Bacterial large subunit ribosomal RNA
Source: RNAcentral